RNAcentral lists this signal recognition particle RNA (103 nucleotides) under human gut metagenome. RNAcentral's name for it is "Bacteroidales small SRP". It matches the Rfam family "Bacteroidales small SRP". Rfam says of the family: The non-coding component of the signal recognition particle in Bacteroides The record is from RNAcentral.
ACCCGGAUGAGUCCUGCACGACCAGCUCCCCGUGAAUCCCCCCAGAUCUUGACCGAAGCAAGGGUAGCGGGUUGAGCGGUGCGAUGCAGUAAGCUCAUCCACC